CCUGACCCAGGGAUCAACACCCCACCCCUCCCCUUCCUGCAUCAGCAGGCGGAUUCUUUACCACUGAGCCACCAGAGAAGCAUCUAUAUUUUCCAUGGCAUUCCAUUGCUUUUUUUUUCUUAACUGAGCACUUAUAAGCCCACUGUCGAACUAUAGUUUUUACCCAGAUCAUCUCAUUUAAUCCCCACAAUAACCGUACUCAACAGUGUUAUCAUCACCCAAUUUCACAGCAAAGGAAACAAGAUCAGGCUUCACAGUCAAUGCUGGAUCAACCCCGGAUCUCCUGGCUUUGAGACAGCGCUUAUUCCGCUAAACCCAGAGGCCUCUACAAACCAAAUAUGCAGAUAGACCGCUACCUUGGAGCUGAUACACGGCAAAAGUAAACAAGCUUUUUCUCAGGCAGCCCAGCAUGGAGGCCUUCCCUAUUCAAACACUGCAAGAAUCGACAGGCUCGGAUGGACUGAGCUCCCAGGCCCUGCUUCC
Molecule: long non-coding RNA, 483 nt
Organism: Bubalus bubalis (water buffalo)
Lineage: Eukaryota; Metazoa; Chordata; Mammalia; Artiodactyla; Bovidae
Exons: 3
Source: RefSeq, a predicted model, not a curated record